UACAGAGGUCCCGAGCGUUGUUCGGAUUCAUUGGGCGUAAAGGGUGCGUAGGCGGCGGGGCAAGUCUGAUGUGAAAUCCUGGGGCUCAACCCCAGAACUGCAUUGGAUACUGCCUUGCUAGAGUACUGGAGAGGGAACUGGAAUUUACGGUGUAGCAGUGAAAUGCGUAGAGAUCGUAAGGAAGGCCAGUGGCGAAGGCGAGUUCCUGGGCAGUUACUGACGCUGAGGCACGAAGGCCAGGGGAGCAAACGGG
This 253-nucleotide ribosomal RNA is filed under the name uncultured bacterium. RNAcentral's name for it is "partial 16S ribosomal RNA". It matches the Rfam family "Bacterial small subunit ribosomal RNA", at positions 524 to 776 of the family's 1533-position model. The record is from RNAcentral.